Molecule: ribosomal RNA, 253 nt
Filed under: uncultured bacterium
Lineage: Bacteria
Description: partial 16S ribosomal RNA
Rfam family: Bacterial small subunit ribosomal RNA
Source: RNAcentral
UACGUAGGUGGCAAGCGUUGUCCGGAUUUAUUGGGUUUAAAGGGUGCGUAGGCGGCCCUGUAAGUCAGUGGUGAAAUACUCCAGCUUAACUGGAGGGGUGCCAUUGAUACUGGGAGUCUUGAGUUCGGGAGAGGUGAGUGGAACUGCGAGUGUAGAGGUGAAAUUCGUAGAUAUUCGCAAGAACACCAGUGGCGAAGGCGGCUCACUGGCCCGAUACUGACGCUGAGGUGCGAAAGCGUGGGGAGCAAACAGG